This 560-nucleotide ribosomal RNA is filed under the name uncultured bacterium. Its description in RNAcentral is "partial 16S ribosomal RNA". It matches the Rfam family "Bacterial small subunit ribosomal RNA", at positions 355 to 905 of the family's 1533-position model. The record is from RNAcentral.
UGGGGAAUUUUGGACAAUGGGCGCAAGCCUGAUCCAGCCAUGCCGCGUGCGGGAAGAAGGCCUUCGGGUUGUAAACCGCUUUUGUCAGGGAAGAAAUCUUCUGAGUUAAUACCUCGGGAGGAUGACGGUACCUGAAGAAUAAGCACCGGCUAACUACGUGCCAGCAGCCGCGGUAAUACGUAGGGUGCAAGCGUUAAUCGGAAUUACUGGGCGUAAAGCGUGCGCAGGCGGUUUUGUAAGACAGAGGUGAAAUCCCCGGGCUCAACCUGGGAACUGCCUUUGUGACUGCAAGGCUUGAGUGCGGCAGAGGGGGGAUGGAAUUCCGCGUGUAGCAGUGAAAUGCGUAGAUAUGCGGAGGAACACCGAUGGCGAAGGCAAUCCCCUGGGCCUGCACUGACGCUCAUGCACGAAAGCGUGGGGAGCAAACAGGAUUAGAUACCCUGGUAGUCCACGCCCUAAACGAUGUCAACUGGUUGUUGGGGAAGGUUCCUUCCUCAGUAACGUAGCUAACGCGUGAAGUUGACCGCCUGGGGAGUACGGCCGCAAGGUUGAAACUCAAA